UACGAAGGGGGCAAGCGUUGUUCGGAAUUACUGGGCGUAAAGGGCGCGCAGGCGGCCCUUGAAGUCAGGUGUGAAAGCCCCGGGCUUAACCUGGGAAUGGCCGUCGAAACUGGCGAACUGGAGUGUGGCAGAGGGGGGUGGAAUUCCGCGUGUAGCAGUGAAAUGCGUAGAGAUGCGGAGGAACACCGAUGGCGAAGGCAGCCCCCUGGGCUGACACUGACGCUCAGGCACGAAAGCGUGGGGAGCAAACAGG
This 253-nucleotide ribosomal RNA is filed under the name uncultured bacterium. RNAcentral describes it as "partial 16S ribosomal RNA". It matches the Rfam family "Bacterial small subunit ribosomal RNA", at positions 524 to 776 of the family's 1533-position model. The record is from RNAcentral.